UCUUGACCAAGUACAACACCAUUCUCACCUAUAUUCCUAGGGGUGGGCAUCCGGUCCGUUCGGUCUGAUUGUUUAAUAUCGGUUUCAAAUUGACAAAAAUGACAUUCAUAACCAAACCGAAAUAAAUUCGGUUUGAUUCGGUUCGGUUAUUUCGGAUUUUUAUUUCGGUUUGAAAUAUUAAAGUAGUUAGCCUCUCUUUUUUAUAACUGAGCAUUUAAAAUUGAU
This 225-nucleotide long non-coding RNA is filed under the name Capsicum annuum. RNAcentral describes it as "long non-coding RNA (CANN_LNC018504)". Lineage: Eukaryota; Viridiplantae; Streptophyta; Magnoliopsida; Solanales; Solanaceae. The record is from RNAcentral.